Molecule: non-coding RNA, 109 nt
Organism: Podarcis lilfordi (Lilford's wall lizard)
Lineage: Eukaryota; Metazoa; Chordata; Lepidosauria; Squamata; Lacertidae
Source: the annotation of a GenBank genome assembly
CUCCCGCCAAGCAUUGGCUCUGUUUUUUCCCUUUUAGCCUUCUGGCGCCCCGCAGAAUUUGGCGCCUGAAGGCUAAAAGGGAAGAAACAGAGCCGACGCUUGGCGGGAG